RNAcentral lists this ribosomal RNA (235 nucleotides) under uncultured fungus. Its description in RNAcentral is "partial 18S ribosomal RNA". It matches the Rfam family "Eukaryotic small subunit ribosomal RNA", at positions 548 to 785 of the family's 1831-position model. Lineage: Eukaryota; Fungi. The record is from RNAcentral. RNAcentral also lists the same sequence under 1 other name.
UUGGAGGGCAAGUCUGGUGCCAGCAGCCGCGGUAAUUCCAGCUCCAAUAGCGUAUAUUAAAGUUGUUGCAGUUAAAAAGCUCGUAGUUGAAUUUCGAGAUCAGUACGCUGGUCGUGCCUUCGGUAUGCACUGGUGUCACUGGUUUCUCCCUUCUGAAGAACCGUCAUGUCAUUAAGUUGGUGUGGCGGGGAAUCAGGACUGUUACUUUGAAAAAAUUAGAGUGUUUAAAGCAGGC